CUCUCAUUGCCGGAUGCCAUCCAUGUAAGAUGUGACUUGCUCCUCCUUGCCUUCCACCACGAUUGUGAGGCCUCUCCAGCCACAUGGAACUGUAAGUCCACUAAACCUCUUUCUUUUGUAAAUUGCCCAGUCUCAGGUAUGUCUUUAUCAGCAGCAUGAAAAUGAACUAAUACACCUUCUUUGAGACACAGAUUUAGAUAUAAGCAUGGGUCCAGGUAUGAAUAUGGGUUAAUAGGUAAAUAGAUAUGUCUGAAGCAGGCAGUAAGGAUACUCUUGCAUGCCUGAGAAACUAUAACCAAUGGCUACAAAGAAGCAUUUAGAAAAAUGCUUAGAUGCUGAAAAGUAAUAUGUGAGUAUAUGUAGGGUAUAUGAAUCAUGGUGAUUAUAAUUAUUUCCCAGCACCUUCUACUCCAAGUGUGGUCCACAGGCAGGUGUCAUCAGCAUUACCUAGGAGCUUGUCAGAGAUGCAGAAUGUCUCAUUUCUUGCAUAUGAAUCAGAAUCUGCAUUUUAACAAUAUUCUACUGAUUUUCAUAUUAAAAUUAAAAUUUGAUUCUCACAUUAAAAUUUGAGAAGCACUGGCUGGGCGCAGUGGCUCACACCUGUAAUCCCAACACUUUGGGAGGCUGAGGCAGGCAGAUCACGAGGUCAGGAGUUCGAGACUAGCCUGACCAACAUGGUGAAACCCUGUCUCUACUAAAAAUACAAAAAUUAGCUGGGUGUAGUGGCGCACACCUGUAAUCCCAGCUACUUGGGAGGUUGCAGUAAGCCAAGGUCACACCAUUGAACUCCAGCCUGGAUGACAGAGUGAGACUCCAUCUCAAAAAAAAAAAAAAAAAAUUUGAGAAGCACCACCCUAGAUGCUUUGUGAGCCAUAUAUAGCAAGUAGAGGUGGUGUAUUAACAUCAAACUUUUGGUUAGGCACAAUAGGCACAAGUGUUUAUGAGCCCACAGUACCUUAAGGGACUCAUGAAAUAGUUUUAAUUUCUUUUAAAAUCAAAAUUUAAAAAUAAACUUUUAUAUGGAAGAAAGUAUUUUAAUAUGUAAUCUUAGUAUAUUUCAUCUUUAUUUCAGUGCAACUCUAAAAUACAAUUUUAAUAUGUUUCUUUGUGGAGGAAGGGGCCCAGGAAAGCAAAAAUUCCUAGCGCCCACAUAAAGUGACAAAUAACAAAACACCCCCCAAAAUGAAGGAAAUCCUGGGCAGCUGUCUCAGUGACAUCUCCUUUUUUAUCUCUGUCAUUAACUGUUAGAUCUACUUUUCAGAAAGAAUUACAGAUCCCCCCCAAAAAAGACCUUACUAUAAAUCAAUCAUUUGUAUGCAAUUUAUAUGCCUACUAAUGUCCAUAAAUGUUCAUUUUAAAAGAAAACCUAUUGUACUUACUUUUAAAAUGUCUUCUGUUUUUAAAUUUGCAUGAUUUCACAGGUAUUUUCAAAUGCCAAUAAACAUUUCUCUAGCUGGGUUUUAAUGACCACAUUAAAUUUCAUGGUAUAAAAUAUAAACUUCUAGUGAAUUAGUUUCCACUUGUUGCUACUAUGAGUAACACUAUGAUAAAUAAAUAUCCUUGUCGCAAAUCCAUGAUUAUUUUCUUCAGCGAAAUUCCUAAAGUGAAAUUACUAUAUAUACUUUUUAAACAUGUAUAGCUUUGGCUAACUUUCAAUUUUGAUAGUUUCAAACUUAUAGAAAAGUUGCAGGAACCAUGCAAGGAGCUCCUCCAUUCCCUUUCCCUAGAUACGUCAGUUUUGCCCCGUGCCCCAUUUGCUUUGUGUUCUGAAUUCUCUGUCUUGCUCUCUUUCUUUCUCUCUCUCUCUUUCUCCAUCUGUCUAUCUCUAUCUGUAUCUCUCUCUUCAUCUCCCUCUUUCCCACGACCAUUUGAGAGCAAGUUGAUACAAAUCUGUCCCUUAGCCACUGAAUAAAUAUUUGGUGUGUUUUUCCCCAAAGCAAAGAUGCUGUGUUAUACGACCACGUGAACACAAUUAUGAAAAUCAGGGAAUUAACAUGGGCAUACUGCUAUUAUCUGUUGCACACUCCAUACUUCAGUGUAGCCAACUGUGCUGUCAAUGUUCUUUAGACGUCCCCACUGCCAUCUCCCACCUCCUCACCCCAGAAUCCAUUUCAGGAUUCACAUCACAUUUGUUGUUAUUCAGUCACCUUUAGUCUGGAACAGCUCCACAUUGUUAUUCUUGUUCUGGACAAUUUUGGGUUAGUUUUUGUUUCAAAUUUUUGUGGGCACAUAGUAGGUGUAUAUAUUUAUGGGGUACAUGAGAUGUUUUGAUACAGACAUGCAAUGUGAAAUAAGCACAUCAUGGGGAAUGGACAUUUUAUGGUAUUGAUAUUUAUUACAAAAUAACUCUUUAAAUAAUAUUGCUUCUUAUGAGAGGAAGCAUAUAAGCAUGUCCAUUUCUUCAUAUUUUUAAAACAUUAAUAUUCUUUUUCAGCUUUCUCAUCUGAUAACCACAAUAUACAUUUUGUUUUUCUUUAAAUAUUCAUUUCCUAGAUUACUAGUGAAGCUGAAUAUUUUUUCUUUUCACAUUAUUCUUUCAUGUCUUUUGUGUAUUCUUCUAUUUGAGAUUUUGUCUUUUUAAUUGAUUUAUAGAUAUGUUUCAUUCUUUAUAUAAUAAAGAUGCUACCCUUUUGCCGACAAAUAUUUUUCCCGGGGUCAUUCAUGGUGCAUGAUAAAGAGAAGCUUUUCAUUUGUAUGUAGUGUUAUAUAAUCAGUAUUUCUUACUGAUGCUUUUGCCUUUGGAAUUGGGCUUGACAAAACCUUUCCUACUCAUUAUAUCAAUAUCCUUCUAAAUUUUCAACUAAUUAUUUUAUUACCUGUUUUACAUUUACUUUUGAGCAUUAUAAAGUAUAUUUUUGUACCUAACUUACAUUUUCAAAAAAUGUAAUUAAUUAUUGCCACUGAUUUGGAAUGUCAACUUUAAAUUAUAUUAAUCAUACUAAACACUGAACAAAAUAAAUUUGCAUCCAAAUUCAAUAUUUUAGAAGAAACAGGAAUAACAGAACUUUACACCAGAAGAAAUCAUAGGAUAUAAUUUAUUAAUGAAGAUAAAGGAAAACAUGUGUUUGAUGAUUCAAAACAGAAAAUAAUUUUCCUUUUUAAAAAGGGAUUAAAAAUUGUAUUUUGUUGUUUUGUUCUGGGUCUGUUAAGCUGGGGCCUCACACUUAAAACUGUAGUAAUAUAUAUAACCAUCUGGAGAAUAUUUUUUAAUAAAGGGAAAGAGACAAUUUUAUUAUUUACAUUUUAAAUAGACCAUAUAGAAAUUAGCUUAUUUGUCAAUUUAUUUUUACCUCCAAAUCCCCUCACUUAAAAUUUUGAUCUUUAAGAGGAGAAAUAUCUCCAACAUCAAUUAAAAAGAUAUCUAAUACAUUUGGACUGCAGCCUACUAACCAUGUACCCCUUAUAUUACAUAAGAUGGCACAUUCAUUGCCAAACAUACGUUUUAUAAAUUAAACAAAUUUUAUUAUAAAGCUGUUUAAUGAAACUAGCAAAUUUAGACUUGUUUAAAUGUCAGUAAAAUAUUAAGUACCAUAUGUUCUUUGCCAAGUAGUUUUUGGAAGCACAUGAAAUUAAUUGUUAAACAAGAGAAUUUAUCGACUUAAAGUACUUCACAAUCAAUGUUAUCAUUUAAUGCAUCUUUUGGCAAUUAUUAAACCCUAGGGAACAGCAUGAAUAUCCUUAUCAAGUCUGGAAAGACACUAAUGGGGAGGAGAAUGGACUGUCGCUUGCAUUUACAUGUGGGCAUGAGCUCAGAGAAAAGUGAAGGAAAAAAACACCAUAAAAAUGCCCUCAGGCUCAAUGCCCAGGACAGAUAUAUUGCACAGCCACCAGAGUUUCCAACAGCACCAUUUCCUUCAUUAAUCUGGUGUUUUAUUCCUCUUCUUUUUUUUAAUUUUUGGAUGCUUUUCAAUUUUUAAGAUAGCUAGAAUUCUUUUUUACAUCUAUAUGCAUUCUUUACUGCUGAGAUGAUUAGUUCAUAUCCAUGAUUAAUAAGAAUGUCCUAUUAAGAACUUAAUAUAGUUAAAAGUGUGUGAAAAGAUUCAGGUUGGUUAAAUUUAUAAGUUAUUAAUGAUAAUAACAUAAGAGUUAUUAAGCACUAUUAUUGCCAGGCACUGUUCUAAGCAUUUUACAAUUAUUAUUUUAUUUCUCCAAGCUAUCAUAUGAGGUAUUUACUUAGUUUUGUCUCUAUUUUACAGAUGAGGAGACUGAGCAAAGAUGAAGUUCAAUAACCAUUUUAUUUUUAAAACUUCAUGGAAAACUGAAAUACGUACUUCUCUGACUUGGGAAAUGUAGUUAUUAAAUAUAAUUGUAAUUUUUUAAGUCUCAAGAUCAUAAAUACCUCUGUUUUUAACAUAAAUGAUACUCAUACUAUUAUAGGUAUCAGCAGGCAAAUAAUUAAAUUUGGAGUUUUGUUUGUUUUAUCUUUGUUUUGUUUUUAGUUUUGAAGUUUGAGUGAAUAUCUGGUUGAACUCUCGGUCUAAAAAUCUGAUUGAAAGAGAAAAAGCUAUUUAGAUACUUGAUGAAUCUGCAUAAUCAGUUUCCAGUAAAUCUAUUAGGUUGACGCAAACAUAAUUGUGGGUUUUGCCAUUAAAAGUAAUGGCAGGCCAGGUGCAGUACACACCUGUAAUCCCAGCACUUUGGGAGACAGAGGCAGGUGGAUCACCUGAGGUCAGAAGUUCAAAACCAGCCUGGCCAACAUGGUGAAACCCCAUCUCUCCUAAAAAUACAAAAAAUUAGCGACGCAUGGUGGCAGGCACCUGUAAUCCCAGCUACUCGGGAGGCUGAGGAAAGAGAAUCGCUUGAACCCAGGAGGCGGAGGUUGUGGUGAGCCGAGUUUGUGCCAUUGCACUCCAGCCUGGGCAACAAAAGCAAAACUCCAUCUCAAAAAAAAAAAAAAAAAUUAAUAGCAAAAACAGCAAUUAUGUUUGCACCUAUCUAAUAGGUGAGGCAACUUUUUUUGAAUAAGGACUAGAAGACUGCACAUAGUGUAGAGGAUGGAGUGACGAGCUGGAGUCCUGGUGCACUGUGAAGGAUGUAAAUGGAAGGGGUAAGAAUGUUUCCCAGUAACAACCUGAAACACAGGGAUUGUGCCAAAAAAUACUUUCUCCUAUAUUCUAUUUCUACCAUUAAUCACAUUCACACCAUCUCCUCCUCAUACCAUCUCAUCCUAACAAGCAAUAUGAGAUGCUUUUCUUCCAGAAGUCUCGGAUGUCUUCAUAAAACCAUAAGGAAGGGCCAUGGCUGAUUGUUUAACCAAAAGUGUAUGAUUGUAAGAGUUUGAAACAGUCAUUAACACAAAGUUAAAUAGCCUAAGUAUGUGGGUUUUGCAGCUGACCUUAAUAUUUGAUCCAAUGUUUUACAUUAUUACCACAUGACAUAGGUGAUAUUGUAAAGUGUUUCUGUGAAAGCCAUAGCAGGGUUAUAUUAUUUCACUGGUAGAAUCACAAAGUUUGGGCUUUUUAGCACUGCAUUUACUGUAAUUAAGCUAAGUAAGAAAUAUAUAGUUUAAAACAAGGAAGGUUUUUGUAUUAGUCCAUUUUCACACUGCUGAUAAAGACCUACGCGAGACUGUGUUAUUUACAAAAAAAAGAAGUUUAAUAAUGUACAGUUCCACAUGGCUGGGGAGGCCUCACAAUCAUGGUGGAAGGCAAGGAGGAGCAAGUCACAUCUUAAAUGGAUAGUGGCAGGCAAAGAAAAAUAUUGGGCAGGGAAACUGCUCUUUAUAAUAUUGUCAGAUUUUGUUUAUUCACAAGAGCAUGGGAAACACCUGCACCCAUGAUUCAAUUACCUCCCACUGGGUAACUCCCACAACACAUGGGAAUUCAAGAUGAGAUUUGGGAGGGGACACAGCCAAACCAUAUUAUUCUGCCCUGGCCCCUCCCAAAUCUUAUGUCCUUAGAUUUCAAAACCAAUCAUGCCUUCCCAACAGUCCCCCCAAAAUCUUAAACCAUUUCAGCAUUAAUUCAAAAGUCCAUAGUCCAACAUCUCAUUUUGAGACAAGGCAAGUUCCUUCUGCCUAUGAGCCUGUAAAACCAAAAGCAAGCUAGAUAUUUCCUAGACACAAUGAGGGUACAGGCAUUUGAUAAAUGCAUCCAUUCUAGAUGGGAGAAAUUGGCCAAAACAAAAGGGCUACAGGCCAUCCAUGCAAGUCCAAAAUCCAGCGGGGCAGUCAAAUCUUAAAGCUCCAAAAUGAUCUCCUUUGACUCCCCUAUCUCACAUCCAGGUCACAUUGAAGCAAGAGGUGGGACCCCAUGGUCUUUGGCAGCUGCACCCCUGUGGCUUUGCAGGGUACAGCCUCCCUCCCCGCUGCUUUAACAGGCUGGCAUUGAGUGUCUGUAGCUUUUCCAGGUGCACAGUGCAAGCUGUCAGUGGAUCUACUGUUCUGGGGUCUGGAGAAUAGAGGCCCACUUCUCACAGCUCCACUGGGUGGUGUCCCAGUAGAGACUCUGUGUGGGGCUCUGACCCCACAUUUCCCUUCUGUACUGCCCUAGUACAGGUUUCUCAUGAGAGCCCUGCCCCUGCAGCAAAUUACUGCCUGGACAUCCAGGCAUUUCCAUACAUCCUCUGAAAUCUAGGCAGAGGUUUCUAAACCCCAGUUCUUUACUUCUGUGUACUUGCAGGCUCAACACCACGUGGAAGUUGCCAAGACUUGGGGCUUGCAUCCUCUGAAGCCAUGACCCAAGGUCUACAUUGGCCCCUUUCAGCCACGACUGGAGCUGCUGAGAUGCAGGGCACCAAGUCCCUAGGCUGCACACAGCGUGGGGACCCUGGACCUGGCCCACGAAACCACUUUUUCUCCUAGAGCUCAGCUCCUAUGAUGGGAGAAGCUGCCUUGAAGACUUCUGACAUGCCCUGGAGAUACUUUCUCCAUUGUCUUGAAGGCAGUAUUAUGCAGAGGAAAACCAUGAGCUAUGGAAUCACAGAAAACCAACUGUGAUGCUGUGACUUACUGUGUGGUACUUACUGUGGCUAUGUGGCUUUGGACAAGUUAUGUGACUGCUCUGAGUCUCAGACAUGUUUUCUGAUUUGAUCUACAUAGCCCAAGUCUCCAAUUAUAAAGUGAUGAAUCGUCUGUUUACUCUCUUCCUUAAGUUCUAGGGCAGUGGUAUCCAAUCUGACAUGCAUCAGAUUCACGUACAGAACUUUAAAAAUACAUAUGUCUGUGCCCCACUCUAGACCAGCAUUGUCUAAUACAAAUAUGAGGCCAGCUACAUAUGUAAUUUUAAAUUUGCUAGACCCCCCGACAUUGCUAAAGUGAAAAUAAAUAGGUUAAAUUUAUUUCAAUGAUUUAUUUUAUUUAACCCAAUACAUUAAAAACAGUAUCUUUCAAUAUACAAAAGUUAUUACAAAUAAUAUUUUAUAUUCUUUUUGUUCUCAGUCUUUUAAAACCAUCUCAGUUCAGGCUAGCCACAUCUCAAGUACUCAAUAGUCGAAAAUGGCCAGUGGUGCCCAUAUUGGACAGUGCAAUCCUAGAUCUCUGUCUUGUUCUGGCAUUAUUUUGGGGAAGUGACUACUGUUCUGAGCCUAGUACAGUUGGAGAGACAUAUGCUAUUCCAAAUCUCUGUCCUUUCAACCUUUCUAAAGAAGCUGUUAUGAAUCUCUUUCUUUAAAAAAUGUUAUUCUAAUUUUAUCUGGAAUGCCAAGGCAUCUCAAUUCAAUUUUGAUUCAUACAUACUAUACAAAUGAACAAAACUCUAUAAUCCCAUAAAAUAAAAUACAUUGUUAACUUAAUUCUAUACAUUUUCUAAGGUUUUUGAUUUUUGGUGUUUUUGUUGUUGCCUUACAUGUCCAUUUUCUUUCAAAAUUAUCUUUGUUGCAGGAAUGAAUAAUUGAAUUAAAUGAUUGUUGAAUUCAACUAUUGAAAUGAUUCUAAAACUCUCAUCCUGCAAUGCUAGAAAAGAUGUCCCCCAACAUAUUCUGUUCUAUGGGAGUGGGAAGACUAUAUAACCUUUUAUCAGCUUAAUUACAAAGUCCAUUUAAACAGAACUCCCUGGGAACUGUAGGGUUUUAAUCUUUAUGGUGUACAAUUAUCUUUACCCAGUAAGUGCAUGAAAUAAACUACACUGUUCCUGAUUCUCAGUUCAAAUUUUAAAAAACAUGUUGUGAGAGAUAAAUAUAGCAUGUGAGCAAACAUGGCUUGCUGCUCAAUUGUUCAAAAAUGUAUCCACACAAACAAUUGUUGGGGUAAUUAUUAAUGCUAAAAAUAUGUGAAGUUGCAGUGACUGUGCACUUGAAGUCUAGUAUGUGUCGUUUGUUUUAUUCAUGAUAAACAGAUCAUUUAGAUGGAAAAUCCCAUCUGCUUAGAUAUAUCUCUUAUUAUUUAUGAGAACCAUGUUUAGGAAUGCAGGCAGCACAUGUGCAUAAUUAAUCCUGAAGAGAAUUAGACAUUGUUUGAUUCACAGCUGAAUGCAAUUAGCAUUAGGAAGUUUACAUAUGUUGGCAAUAACACAGAUUAGCAACUAAAGUGCUUGUUAAAAAAUUUAACCUGAGGCUGCUGGAUCAGACCUCUCUUAAUGAUGCUUUAAAUGUUGUUGAUGAAGUAAUAAUCAAUUUUGUUUUAUAAAUAGUAAACCAAGAAUUUAGGUCUAAUUAACAGUGCUACAGAUCACUUCACUUACAUAUCAGAUGUACUUGUGAUAUGUACUAUGAACUUUCUUUGAAUCUCAUGUGCAAACAGUUGUUAUGGAGCAGACAUGAUCCUUUCUAGAAAAAAAAAAUUCUAUUUUCUAGCUAGGGAAGGGUGACUAUCUGCCUUUCAGAAGGACUCAUCUAGAGGCGUUUAGCAUGAGAAUUCUGUCUUUGUCUCUUUGCUGCUUUUAAUUGUGGGAGAAACAACGUCCUCUCCUUCACAAGCAGAGCCAUUAGCCAGCUUACAGACUGUGAAACAGAGUCAUCUAAUGGGGAGGGAGGAGAGAAUGGAAAUGAUGAAAAUGAGGCCAAAAGUAAAAUUGAGCUGUAAUUGUUUGCACUUCAACUUUGAGAAGUUCACCAUUAAUUAAAAUGUUUCUGCAUCACUCACCACCAGACUGGCAAGAAGGAGGUAAGGCUGUGAGAGAGGCAGCCCUGGUGCCUUUCAGAAAGCAAGCAAGGCCUUUUAGCAAAUAUCUCCAGUACACAACUGCAGCAGAAUCACGGGGAGGCAGUCAGGCACAUUCUCCUGUGACAUUACUCACGCAGCCCUUAUUUGUGUUUUUGACUUUUCCUGUGCCUCAUUAUAAAUUAGCAUUAUACAUUUUCAGAAUCGAUGGGAAUAGAGAUGCCAUUUAUUCGGGAAACAUUUACCACAUUUCAUAGAGUCUAAGUCUCACAUUUAUUUUUUCAUACUUUAGCAUCUCUGAAAUGUAAGAUGCAGUGAUAACCAUCUCAGAGUUAAUUGGCAAUAUUUUUUCUUUAGUACAUAAAUAAUGAUAACAGCAUCUUAGAUCCAAUUAUUAGUCCAUUAUUAUUAAAUAUAUAAUUCUUAAAUAUUAAGUUAAAUAAUAUUACAUAUUAUUAGAUAUUACUCAGUUAUCAUAAAUGCCUUUUCUGUGCCAACUAGCGUGCUAGGGAUGAGGAAUAAAUGAGAAGAUAUAAUAUGAUGUGAGAAAGGUUAUAAUAAAGGUAUGUACAAACAGAAUGCUUGCAACUGAAACUGCAGAAACUUCAUUUACUUGGGGCUCAACAGGUAUGUGCACAUGAGAUUUUGUAACAGGUCUGUCCAUUUAUAAAGAGUCAUCAUGAUAGUGACUUUUGAGUGAUAAGCAAUGACAGCAGACAAUUCUAGAAUGGAAGCUCUAUGUGGGCAGGAACUUUUUAACUAUUUGUUCACUGCUGAGCUCUCAACACUGAGAACCAUGCUUGGCACAUAGAAGUCACUCAGUAACUCCCUGUCGAAUGAAAGAAGCCGCCCGUCCAGGAGUCAGCAAUCUAGCCUGCCCAUCUGUUUACUUAUACCCUGUAAGCAAAGAUAGUUUUUACAUUUCUAAAUGGUUGGGGAAAAAAUCAAGGGAGGAAUAAUAUUUCAUGACAUAGUAAAAUUACAUAAAAUUCAAAUUCCCUUAUCUAUAAAUUUUAUUGGCACACAUCCACAUCUUUUCAUUUGCAUUUUGCCUGCGGCUAUUUUCUUGUUACAACAUCAGGGUUGAGUAGUUGUAAAAGGAACCUCGUGGCCCACAAAUCCGAAAAUAGCCAGAUAGUAAUGGCUGGCCAUUUACAGAAAGUUUGCUGAUCACUGGACUAUGCUGUUGUCAGAGUGGCUAUCAUGAGAUUAUGUUCAAUUCAGUUGUUCUCUGCCCUCACCAAUUCCGUCACCAUGGAAUCCCCUACUGCUCCUCAUCCCACUGGACCCAGAAACUUCUAUACCAUCACUGAUAACAUACAUGAUGAUACAGAAGAAAACCCAAUCCUAGGCCCCCCCAAAACCCCUUAAAAUUGUCCCUUGACCCUCAUAAAAUUAAAUUAAUUUUGGCUCUCUUGGUAGAAAUGCAUAAGCUGAAUUGUAUAUAUUAAAGCUUAAUGAUAAUACCUCCUGGUAAUGAUCAAAUUUGGUACAACUUUAAUCCAUUUGGCUUCUAUCCAAGAAGACCCAUUAGAGAAAGAAAGUACCAGCUGAAUUUCAUUAUAAAAAUACUUUAUAUGUUAUGUGUUCCUGAGACAUGAACCCAGAGAGUGUUAUGCUUUUAAUUAAAGAUUAUCAGUUUGAAAAAUCCCCUUCUCUUUCCCAUCUGCUCUGUGCUAGUUGAUUUCACUUGUCCACUAGGAGUUGAGUGACUACAAAAGAAUCACAAAGUAUUGGCAGAUGGGCAGGGAGCCAGCACAGUCUGAGGGUGUCUGAGAUCACAGCUAUGUUGCCAAUGAAUCAGCAGUUCACACAUAGUUCCACUGGAUCCUGGUACAGUCACUGACAGUAUGUAAAAUGCAGCCUUCAAUGGGGAGGAAUGUAGGCACUGAUAGAGAAAGCCUAUGCAUUUAUUCUAAGGUUCUGAGUUAUCUUCCUGCCUUCUCAUCAGCAGAAUCUGCUAGAAACAGGAGUUAAUUUUUCUGCUUGCAAAUGGAGGCACAAACUAUUCCAUUAUUAUUAACUCACUAAUCUCUAGGCACCAUGAGGAUAGGGGCCAAUUCCAUCUUUUUCAUGGCUCUUUGUAUCCCCAUCAUAGGGGGAUAUAGCAUAGUGUAGUGCUAAGCCAAUAUAUCUUUCUUGACUAAAGAGAUAUCCCACACAGGCAUUAGUAUAGCUGGGUUUCCUUAUAACUCUUUGCAUCAUGCAAUUCUUUGCUAUCUCUAGACAAUAUUUUGAUAUUAUGGAGUCUUUUUUAAUGCAGAGAUAGAUAUAAAUGUGUGGGAAAAAACUCCUUCAAAAAGUAAAUGGGAGGGGGAAAGGGACAGUUGGGUAAAAAAAUAAUAAGAAUCCAAGGUAAUGUUACUCACUGGCCACUAGCUUAUCGUCCAUUAUUAUUCCAGUAUAAAUUAGUAAGAUCAGCAUUCACUAAGAACAUAGAGAAAAAACAGGAUUGCAAAAACCUUUAAAGAUUUGAAUCAAGUAUCAAAAUAUAGGGAAUAGGGUACUGCCAACAGGCCAAAUCUACAGUCCUUUAUUGGGAAACUAUUGAGUAAACAAAAGGCACUUGAAAGGAGAUGCUAAAACUGAGAAGAGAGCUUGUUUCAGAGAGUACUAAGACCCCAGUAUUCAUUUCCCCCUUUAGUCUUUUCAUUACUCGCGUGCGCGCGCGCGCACACACACACACACACACACACACAGUUUUAGCAAAAACAAUCCAACUUGCUAGAUAUUUUCUAGCUUUAUAUUUUCUUUCUUUGUUGUUAAGUGUGACCAUAUGUCUAAAUUCUGGCCAAGGUGAGGUAGGCAGAGAUGAUAUUUGCAAAUUCUAAAUCAUCCCCUUAAAGGAAGCUGCUUAUCCUCCAGCACGUCUUUCUCCUUCUUGUGUGCAAGAAAAAGGGCACAGUGCUGGCAAUCUGAUGUAUUAGUCUGCAAGGACUGCCAUAACAAAAUACCACAGACUGGGUGGCUUAAACAACAAAACAACAGGAAUUUAUUUUCUCACAUUUCUAGAGGCUAGAAAUCCAAAAUCAAGGUGCCAUCACAUUUUGUUUUCUUCUGUGGCCUCUCCUGCUGGUUUGCUGGUUUUGCUCUCUUCACAUGGCCUCUUCUCUACACAUACAGAGAAGAGAGAGCUCUGUGUCUCUUCCUCUUCUUAUAAGGCCACCACUCCUAUAGGAUUAAGGCCUCACCCUCAUGACCUCAUUGAAAGUUUGCGACUUCCCUGUAGGCCUUAUCUCCAAAUACAUUCCCAUUUGGGGUUAGGGCUUCAGUAUAUGAAUGGGGGAAGGGACGCAGUGACUGCCAGCUUCAAGGAUGUCCCCUAAGGUGGUGGCAGAGCACUGUAAUGGAAGACAUUUGUCCUGGGUGAUUUUCUGAAGUAGAGCCAUGUGACCUCUUUGGACUGCCUACCCCUCUCUUGACUGUAUGUGUCAGCCACUGGAUUUCUGGAUGCAUUUGUUGCUGUAGCCAUAUCCUAACUAGUAAAGCUUAAAAGAGGAAAUCCAAAAUAAACUUUCUCUUGCUUCACAACUCUGUUUGGGGCAACUUUUUAAGAGAAAACAAAAAACUGAACAGGCCAUCCAUCCUCUUAUCUGAAUUUCUUCUUGAAUGUGGUUUCACUUUAUGCUUAAUACUAAUCUAAUUAUAUCCAAAUAGGCAAAUGCUUAAAUAUCACAGUCUCAUCUUUCACAUAAUAGCUCUCUAAUCUGUGGCAGCCAGAUUAAUUUUAGUCUUUGUAUUAGUCCAUUUUUACAAUAUAAAGAACUACCUGAGACUGGGUAAUUUAUAAAGAGGUUUAAUUGGCUCACAGUUCUGCAUGGUUAGGGAGGCCUCAGGAAACCUACAAUCAUGGCAGAAGGUGAAGGGGAAGCCAGGCACAUAUUACAUAGCAUGGGAGAGACAGACGGAGAAGUAGGAAGCACCACACAUUUAUCAAACAACCAAAUAUCAUGAGAACUCUAUCAGAAUAA
RNAcentral lists this long non-coding RNA (13008 nucleotides) under Homo sapiens (human). RNAcentral's name for it is "HSALNT0342868". The record is from RNAcentral. Lineage: Eukaryota; Metazoa; Chordata; Mammalia; Primates; Hominidae.